AUUAUCUCAGCUGAAAUGUGCUGCUCAAACUCUAAAAGCUUAACCAGCAAAAUGCUUCUAGUUCCUGGUCCUCAUGCUUAUAUAUCAUUUUGCCUUCUAUCAUCACUCUCUGGGAUUAAAGCCUCUCUUUCUGGAAUUAAAGGCA
Non-coding RNA from Peromyscus maniculatus bairdii (prairie deer mouse), 145 nucleotides. The record is from RefSeq and is a predicted model, not a curated record. Lineage: Eukaryota; Metazoa; Chordata; Mammalia; Rodentia; Cricetidae.